CUUCACCGAGCCCAGCCACAGCGGGCGGUCCUCGGGCCGGUCCUGGCCGUAGGUGGCGAGCAGCGCCUGGGCCUC
This 75-nucleotide antisense RNA is filed under the name Streptomyces albiflaviniger. RNAcentral's name for it is "ASpks TB sRNA". It matches the Rfam family "ASpks TB sRNA". The record is from Rfam by way of RNAcentral. Lineage: Bacteria; Bacillati; Actinomycetota; Actinomycetes; Kitasatosporales; Streptomycetaceae. RNAcentral also lists the same sequence under 2 other names.